This 530-nucleotide ribosomal RNA is filed under the name uncultured bacterium. RNAcentral's name for it is "bacterial SSU rRNA". It matches the Rfam family "Bacterial small subunit ribosomal RNA", at positions 356 to 896 of the family's 1533-position model. The record is from RNAcentral.
GGGGAAUAUUGCACAAUGGGCGCAAGCCUGAUGCAGCGACGCCGCGUGGGGGAUGACGGCCUUCGGGUUGUAAACUCCUUUCGCCAGGGACGAAGCGUUUUGUGACGGUACCUGGAGAAGAAGCACCGGCUAACUACGUGCCAGCAGCCGCGGUAAUACGUAGGGUGCAAGCGUUGUCCGGAAUUACUGGGCGUAAAGAGCUCGUAGGUGGUUUGUCACGUCGUCUGUGAAAUUCCACAGCUUAACUGUGGGCGUGCAGGCGAUACGGGCUGACUUGAGUACUGUAGGGGUAACUGGAAUUCCUGGUGUAGCGGUGAAAUGCGCAGAUAUCAGGAGGAACACCGAUGGCGAAGGCAGGUUACUGGGCAGUUACUGACGCUGAGGAGCGAAAGCAUGGGUAGCAAACAGGAUUAGAUACCCUGGUAGUCCAUGCCGUAAACGGUGGGCGCUAGGUGUAGGGGCCUUUUGGGGUUUCUGUGCCGUAGCUAACGCAUUAAGCGCCCCGCCUGGGGAGUACGGCCGCAAGGCUA